Pseudophryne corroboree (corroboree frog) is the source of this 406-nucleotide long non-coding RNA. RefSeq lists it as uncharacterized. The record is from RefSeq and is a predicted model, not a curated record. Lineage: Eukaryota; Metazoa; Chordata; Amphibia; Anura; Myobatrachidae. The transcript has 4 exons.
CUCUUAUUCCGCCAGAAGUGGUUGGUGCGACUCAUGUCCGGGAUUCGGAUCGCCCAAGGCAGGAUGUACGAAAGAGACGCAGCACAGCCAGGCCACAACCCACACUGCCAAGAGAUGCAGAUGCUGGUGAUGCAGGUCCUUCUUCAUCAAACACGCCUCCACUAAGACGACCAUCACAGGGCUCGGAUAGUCUCCAUAAGAUGCCUACCAAGAGACGCCGGCUUGAGGCUGAAUCUCCAGCAGCAUCCUCACCACCACAACGGCGCAUCUCUACAGUGUCGUCCCUGCCACCACAAGCCAUUUUGGCCAGUCCACAAAGCGAGGAUCCACAAUCCCCUCAGCUGUCUGAACCACCCAUCAUGCCCGAGGAUGCCCAGCAGGAAAGUGACUUGCAGGAUUCGUACAC